This 91-nucleotide transfer RNA is filed under the name compost metagenome. RNAcentral describes it as "tRNA-Gly". The record is from RNAcentral.
GAAGUCCUGGCGCAGGCCGCCGACCAGCUCCCACCAGGGGCUGAUGGCGUGGCCCCACAAGGCCUGCAGUUCGGCUUUGUGGGUCUUGCCC